This 422-nucleotide ribosomal RNA is filed under the name uncultured bacterium. Its description in RNAcentral is "bacterial SSU rRNA". It matches the Rfam family "Bacterial small subunit ribosomal RNA", at positions 355 to 774 of the family's 1533-position model. The record is from RNAcentral.
UAAGGAAUAUUGGUCAAUGGACGCAAGUCUGAACCAGCCAUGCCGCGUGGAGGAUGAAGGUCCUCUGGAUUGUAAACUUCUUUUAUCUGGGACGAAACACUUCUUUUCUAAGAGGCCUGACGGUACCAGAUGAAUAAGCACCGGCUAACUCCGUGCCAGCAGCCGCGGUAAUACGGAGGGUGCAAGCGUUAUCCGGAUUCACUGGGUUUAAAGGGUGCGUAGGUGGGUAUGUAAGUCAGGGGUGAAAUCCCCGAGCUUAACUUGGGAACUGCCAUUGAUACUAUAUAUCUUGAAUACCGUAGAGGUAAGCGGAAUAUGUCAUGUAGCGGUGAAAUGCUUAGAUAUGACAUGGAACACCCAUUGCGAAGGCAGCUUACUAUGCGGUGAUUGACACUGAGGCACGAAAGCGUGGGUAGCAAACA